GACGCCCAGGCCCUGCUGGAAUACCUACCUCACCUACAAUCCCAGCUGACCGUCCAGGAGGAGGAUGUGGCGUUCCUUAGAAGAUUCCUGCGACGUAAGGAAGUACAGGCUACCAUGAAGUCCUAUAAGAGUAUAUCAAUUUUAAGUUAUCGAAAACUUCGCCCAGUGUCCCUGGCAGCCGUCGCUCUUGCAGCAAAUAUUUUCUGUGAUAUUAGAAGAUGCAACGAUGAUUCUAAGUUAUCUGAGGAGUUGAUGGAGAUUUUGUCUAAACCCAGUCUACAGGUAU
Molecule: long non-coding RNA, 286 nt
Organism: Saccostrea cuccullata (small rock oyster)
Lineage: Eukaryota; Metazoa; Mollusca; Bivalvia; Ostreida; Ostreidae
Exons: 3
Source: RefSeq, a predicted model, not a curated record